RNAcentral lists this ribosomal RNA (492 nucleotides) under uncultured bacterium. RNAcentral's name for it is "partial 16S ribosomal RNA". It matches the Rfam family "Bacterial small subunit ribosomal RNA", at positions 29 to 507 of the family's 1533-position model. The record is from RNAcentral.
AGUGAACGCUGGCGGUAGGCCUAACACAUGCAAGUCGAACGGCAGCACAGUAAGAGCUUGCUCUUACGGGUGGCGAGUGGCGGACGGGUGAGGAAUACAUCGGAAUCUACUUUUUCGUGGGGGAUAACGUAGGGAAACUUACGCUAAUACCGCAUACGACCUACGGGUGAAAGCAGGGGAUCUUCGGACCUUGCGCGAUUGAAUGGGCCGAUGUCGGAUUAGCUAGUUGGCGGGGUAAAGGCCCACCAAGGCGACGAUCCGUAGCUGGUCUGAGAGGAUGAUCAGCCACACUGGAACUGAGACACGGUCCAGACUCCUACGGGAGGCGGCAGUGGGGAAUAUUGGACAAUGGGCGCAAGCCUGAUCCAGCCAUACCGCGUGGGUGAAGAAGGCCUUCGGGUUGUAAAGCCCUUUUGUUGGGAAAGAAAAGCAGCAGGUUAAUACCCCGCUGUUCUGACGGUACCCAAAGAAUAAGCACCGGCUAACUUCGUG